AGCCCUCUGUAUUCGUGUUGAGACUUCGUCAGAGAUCAACUCGCUGGAGCUGAUGGUACUUCCCAAAUAAGUGAAGCG
RNAcentral lists this microRNA precursor (78 nucleotides) under Trichobilharzia regenti. RNAcentral's name for it is "mir-3492 microRNA precursor family". It matches the Rfam family "mir-3492 microRNA precursor family". The record is from Rfam by way of RNAcentral. Lineage: Eukaryota; Metazoa; Platyhelminthes; Trematoda; Strigeidida; Schistosomatidae.